GAUGAACGCUGACAGAAUGCUUAACACAUGCAAGUCUACUUGAACUUCGGUUUGGGUGGCGGACGGGUGAGUAACGCGUAAAGAACUUACCUCACAGUUAGGGACAACAUUUGGAAACGAAUGCUAAUACCUGAUAUUAUGAUUUUAGGGCAUCCUAAGAUUAUGAAAGCUAUAUGCGCUGUGAGAGAGCUUUGCGUCCCAUUAGCUAGUUGGAGAGGUAACGGCUCACCAAGGCGAUGAUGGGUAGCCGGCCUGAGAGGGUGAACGGCCACAAGGGGACUGAGACACGGCCCUUACUCCUACGGGAGGCAGCAGUGGGGAAUAUUGGACAAUGGACCAAAAGUCUGAUCCAGCAACUCUGUGUGCACGAUGACGUUUUUCGGAAUGUAAAGUGCUUUCAGUUGGGAAGAAAAAAAUGACGGUACCAACAGAAGAAGUGACGGCUAAAUACGUG
This 454-nucleotide ribosomal RNA is filed under the name uncultured bacterium. Its description in RNAcentral is "partial 16S ribosomal RNA". It matches the Rfam family "Bacterial small subunit ribosomal RNA", at positions 28 to 507 of the family's 1533-position model. The record is from RNAcentral.